This 6674-nucleotide long non-coding RNA is filed under the name Sus scrofa (pig). Its description in RNAcentral is "lncRNA (ENSSSCG00060000294.1)". The record is from RNAcentral. Lineage: Eukaryota; Metazoa; Chordata; Mammalia; Artiodactyla; Suidae.
ACUCUUCCAGCAAGGAUGCCGUCAGCAACCCAGCAGCCCCUGGUUCCUGAGGUGCUCUCCUGCAGGAAAGUCUUCACUUUUUGCUGCUGUGAACUCCCCACCAAGCAUCAGAGGAACCUGUGCAGCUUUGGACACUCCAGCCUUGUCUGGUCUGGCCACACAGUGCAGCCCUAAGCCCACGCCAUAAGAUGGGUCAGCAUGCGUUUUCCAGCCCUGGCUGCAGUGAGCCUGGUCCCCAGGCAGCAUCAUCCAUGACAACAUGGCAGGGCUCAGGGCAUCCACCUGAAUUUAGAACCUGAUGGUCCAAUGGGUCCCGCCUUCCGUUUCUGGGCUGCAGCUGGGAAAUCCAAGCAGGACCUGAACCCAUAUGAGAUCCAUCUUGGAAGCAUCAGUGGUUGACAUGUCAACUUCACAUGCACCACUGACCGUGCUGGAUGCGCACCUUUGGGAUGGAGAGGUGCCUGCUGUCUGCCCAGACCCCUGCUUUACAGCCGAAGAAGCUGACAGAGAUCCACCCCGUCUCUAGGGAAACCUGAGUCUGAGCCACGGGGUAUAGAAAACCACGUGUCCCGUGGGUGAAACCACUUCCCGUGAGACUUCGCCUUGGAGACAAGCAGUGGGAGCUUCAUGGACUGACUGGCUUCUACUUUGCCAAAGAAGAAAGUUGAGGUGUUUGACAGCAGGGGCAUAUGAAAGAAUUUCAAAGAAGAAAAGGACCUUACAAGCCGUAGUUUCCAAUCUUCUCAUUUUAAUACUAAUGCUCAUAUAGGCGGUUUAAUUGGUCCAAAGUCAUAAACCAGCCAGUGGCUCUUGGACAGUAAGGCUCUAUCUGACCUUUACGGUUCAUGUCACAUGGCGUUUCAAGCACAUGAUCUUGGCUUGUCGCAUCUGCCCUGUGACAGUGACAGAACCACUUCUUAGGUGAGGGGACACAUGAUUGGCAUCUAGAUCCUCAUCACUAAAUCCAUGUCCUCAAGUUCAACAAACUUUCUUCCUUCUUUGGGGGCGGGGGAGGGGGGGCGGGCACGGACUAUGCAUUCCUUGCUUUACUAGACAGAGGACAUGACCUCUGCCUCCCGAAUAGUUCCCUGAGGGCAGAUAGAUAAAGAGAGGAUUCCAAUCCAGCAUGAUGCACGUGGCGGCCCCUACAUCCUGGCACACACUCCCUUCCAAAGUGGAUGCUUCUCCCAGGGAGAACACGGUGGUGGCAGCAGCAGGAGCCCGUGGCUGAGUCAUGAGUGCAGAGGCACUCGCAGCUUUGCCUCCCAACUCAGGCACCACUCGCCCACCUCCCUCCCAUGCACCGUCACCACCUGUAGGCUUGGAACCAAGAAAGGCUUUGGAAACGAAAGAUCACGCACUAAGAGGAUGUUAAAGUGAAGCGCCCGCUCCCCCCGCCCCCCGCCCCGUGCCACCCGCCCCCAGAGGUAGUUUGUGUAUGUGUGUGUUAUUCCUGAGCCACGUGCUCCGUUUCAUGACACCAGCGCCUGGCCCUUGGCUGGGUUGGAGAGUGCUGCUUAUCCAGAGAGAAGGGCGUCUGCACUUGGCAAAGGACUCAAGACGGGCAGAUCCAAUUCUUCUCUCUCUCUCUUGCUCUCUCUCUCGCUGUCUCUUGCUCUCUCGUUGCCAAAAUAGAAGACUCUUGCUUUUAAGGGAAACGCGUGUGAAUUCUCCUUCCAACGAAUAACCUGAGGUUGCAGUUCAAAUUAAGUAGGAGAGGAAGACUGGGAAUCAGGAGAACUAGGAUUUGGCCCUGAACUUGCUGCUUACUAAAAUGAUCUCGAAUAUUGCUAACAGUUCUGGCACAUUCAAAAUUUUGUUCCUUCAUUUUACAGAAUAAUCAUUGAGUACAUGUUACAUGCCAGUUGCUGCGGGAGGCACUGGGAUAAAAAGAUGAACGUGCCAACCCCCAACAAGUAGGAGACAGAGUCCCUACAAAGUCAAGCACGUAACUAGGAUGCAGCUAGAAGUGUGGGGUCACAGGGCACACACAAGAGGAAGUGGGGCACAGAAGAAUGGCACUGAUCCAGUUCUAAUCCAGUGAAGAGAGUCCAAACAUGCCCCCCCUCACCCCCCGCUAAAUAUGUGUAUUGUUUUGAGCUGAAAGCACUUGGGAAACAGCAGAUAGAGGAAGGGCUCUCCCACCUCCCACUUUCUACCUGAAAGUAGGACACACAUUUUCCAUGAGAAAAGUGCCCUCCUUGUCCCAGAAAGAAGUGAAUAUUCUUUUUUUUUUUCUGGUUGUACCCUUGGCAUAUGGAAGUUCCCGGGCCAGGGAUCGAAUCUGAGCUGCAUAGUAGCUGCAGCAACACUGGAUCCUCAACCCACUGUGCCAGGCUGAGGAUCCAACUGAUACCUCCAAAGAGACAAGCCAGAUCAUUAACCCACUUUGCCACAGCAGCAACUCUGAGGUGAAUAUUCUUAUACCCAAGAGGGGAAGUUGACGCUGAGAUGAAUCUGUAAGAAUCUGUAAAGCGAACCUACUAAAAUAGCCUUCAUCUUUCCUUAGUUUCCUCCAUACCUUUCCUAGUCACCUUCCCAUAAUUUACUGCUCCUAGCCCCACCCCUUUCUCCUCUGUCUUGUCACAUCUCCACAAUGUGCUGGUCUUUGUGGAAAUGACAUCUGAGCUUUCAGGCCUAUCUCCUUCUUUGCAUCUUCUUUUCUAGGAAGGCUCCUGUGUCAUGUAAAAAUAUUAACAUCAAAUCAAAUGUGUUGCUUCCCUCUUGCUGAUUUGUCUUUGGUCAGUUUAAUUCUCAGGCCCAGUCACAGAACUUAAGAGGGCAGGGGAAAGUCUUUCCUGCUCCAUACCCCUUUUUGCUCUGUCCUGCAAGGAUGGCCUGCAUGGACCACAGCAGCAAGGCCCUCGUUGGCGUCCAUCAAUGGGGAGCACUUGAGGAGGUCAGAGGGAGAGGAAAGGAGGUCGGGGGUAUCUAUCCCCCCGCCCCCGGGAGGAUGGCUCAACUGAAAGUCACCACUCGUCCUCAGCUGAGCUACUCUCCAGCUCACCCUCUCCCUGGGGACAGCUCUGCAACUGCUAGCCCCAGCUCCUGAGGGUCCACUUAACUCCACCCGCAAGUUCAUAAUUAGUCCCCUGUACGUAAACUCUCCUUUAAUCUAGACUCAUCAGAGAGUACCAUCUGUUUCCUGCCGAGACCCUGACUAAUAGAGACAUGAAACCCACUUUUGAGAUGUGUGCACACUGGAGGGAGGCGGGGCGGGAGAAGCAAGAUGAAGAGAAGGAAGGGACAGGACAGGAGAACAGGAACGUGUCUCAGAGAAAAAAAAAAGCUACGCUUUUUGAAAGUUAUCUUGCAGUUCAGGAGCUCGGAAGCGAUCCUGGAGGCAGUGGUGGGACAUCACUGCAGGACCUGCUCCGGAGAAGAGGACUGCCCUCACAGCUGCAUCGCGCAAGAUGACUGACGAGCAGCGUGGGAGAAAGCAGGGCUGGGAACAGGAAGAUUGGUCGGCGGAGGGAGAAGAGAAAAAGACAGUGGUCCUGAUGUUCUCAAGGCCCUGGUGGAUGCGAAAACUUCUGGCUGCCCUUUCCAAGCCCACCAAAGACAGGCUGGAAGGAUGGGCUGUGAACUCCGAACGAAGCUGCAAACGCGUGUGAAUCCCAAGCUCCCAGGUUUAACAGGUAAAAGUUAUUACCAGUGCACAGCUCCCAGCCUUCACUGCUCACAGUCAGGGAGCUGCUGAAGUAGAGCCCGGAUGGCAUCUCACUGGGGGAAGCCUGGGAGACUCAUGCCUGGGACAGGGGAAAGUCAGAUGGCAUCUCAGUCUCCAUGGACUUUGUGACUACAUUUUCUGGAUCUUCCCAAGAUGGGGAAUUUGCAGUGUGCAGGCUCCUGCCUCCAGAUCAACCCUAGAGAAGCCAGAGAAGCAAGAGGGGAAGAUUCCGGGAAGGGAGAAUGACAAUGACCACGCAGACCUGCUGCGUGCAGUUAUCAAGCCCACUUUACAGAUGAGAAAACGGAGACACGAACACUGGUUAAGCAAUCGGCCUGCAAUUGAUGACAGGCAGUGGUGGGAUUUGAACCCAAGCAGUGUGAGUCCAGCCUGGAACAUUGUACCCGCCGCCCUCUGGCUGGAUCAGGGAGCCCAGCAGAAGGGGAAAUGCGAGGAUGAAGGCCGCAAGAGAGGGAAACUUGGGAGCUCUUCCCGAAGCCUGUGGAACGGAUGAAGGGAGGGAAGAUAGAACACGAAAGCCAAGAAAUAAAGGGGAUGCAGUCAGAGGGGCAAUGUGCGGAGUGGAGAGACCCGGAACGAGGAACCGAGGAGGAAAAUGGGACAACUCCAUCGUCCCUAAACCCACUGCUUACGGAAGGCCCAACCCCGCUCCUGACCUGACAAGGGUGUGCGUUCCAGAGCCCACCCCCUCUGCCCGUCCUCCACCUGCCAGCGGUGGGCGACUUGUCAACAAAACCCCGAACCCCGACGUGGCCGUCCUGCUGGCUCUCACGGAGGAGGUCUCCCCGUCCAAGUCCGGCCCUCCGGGGUGGGAGAAACGGAGGGGAAAGCAGAGCCCCGUACGGGAGGCAGAGCGGCCUCCUCUGCGAUGCAGCUGAGAGCCAGACAGAGACGAUGGAGGGGCCUCUGGUCCUGAACCGUCUUUACUGGCGCCACGGACACGGCCGUUGGCUUCCCAGUCGUCCGUGGCUGGUGAGGCCCACAGCAGCAGGGCCGAGGAGCCGCGACAGAGACGGGCCGGCCCACAAAGAGGACACCUUAUUUACUAGCUGGCUCUUGACAGAAAACAUCAGCUGACCCCUGACCUAGGUUAGGGCUUCUCAGUCAAGAUGUGGCAGGACAUUUUAUCCCUUGCUGUCCCCAUCCGUCCAUCCCACCCCCGCGGGCUCCUCGCUGGGAUUCACCCUCACCUGCGGCCCCCUGGGGGGACGUGCGGCUGCUUGGUUUGCACCUGAGCAGGGAGAGGGCGGUUUCUUCUCCUCUUUUAGGGAAAAGCUGUCAACAACCAGAGGACAGUUCCCUCAGCCCCCAGUUCACUUAGGGAGAGCGAGAACUUGACCUACUGCUCAAGGGAAAAAAAAAAAAAAAACACACACACCUGGAGUCGGGGCUGAGGGCAAGAGGGGCUCUCUCUGCGGGAGAGGGGGUGUCUGUCCGCCUGGCCUGGACCCCCCACCCCCCCACCCCUGCAGAGAUAAGGUUUCUCAGCAGAGGAGGCGGCCCCUUCCUGCAGAGGUUCCUGACUUGGCUGCAGUGUUCGGUGUUGCUGACACGCUUUUCUGCUUCUCAAGUUAUCCGAGCACAGGCUGAGUUGGGGGGGAGGGGGGGAGAGGGGCCGGGGUGCCCGGCCAGACGCAGCCUUCCUCAAAUUAGGUCACUCUACGUUGAGGUCACGUGAAACCAAGGACCCUUUUCCAGGCUUCCUGACAUUGGCACGGCUCCCUGUGCCAUCUCUGGAAUGCAGGGCGGUGAACACUGCAGAGCAGGGCACCACACGUGCAGAGAAGCGUGAGGCACGGAACCGCGCUGGGGGAGAAGCACUGACGUCCACUCUCUGCAGAAUGACGCUGGAGACGUGGACGCAUCUGCCCCUGGCUCUGAGUCUCCCCGCUGACCUGGCCUGUCUUUCUAACUCCCACGUUUAUUCCCGGGCCGCCCUAUCCUCCGAGAGCGACCACACACGGGGGCCUACGUGCCCACCUGGCCGACAGCAUAAAGCUCAAAGCCUGACUCUCCGCACGCCCUGCCCUUCCUCCCCUCUCCAGCAAGUCCUUACUCCCUGCACUGCCUCAGUGACGCUUCUGUGUGGCUCCAUAAGGGACCAGGAACUUAAAGAUGGAAGAGGACCGUUGCAGAGAUUUACUUAGGGUCCCCGAGCAAGCCGGCUGCUGAGGGGCGCUGCAAGCCAGGUUUUCUGGGGCGCCCCCACUGCAUCACACCUGUCGGCCUCUGGCCGCUGCGCUCCGAGCAUCUCCGUACGCCUGGCGGUUGAAUGGCAGGCAGAGUGGACGCUCCCUGAGAGCAGGGAGUCUGCGGGUCACGCUCUGCGACAUCCCUGUUACAGGCACUCCACACCUGCCUGUCCGGUGACGGUCUCUAGGCCGGCCUCAUCACCGCCUCAUCCCCGUCCACGUGACUUGUUUCCCUUCCUUUUUCUUUUGUCCUCUUAGGGCCGCAACCACGGCAUAUGGUGGUUCCCAGGCUAGGGGUCCGAUCAGCACUACAAUUGCCGGCCUACACCACAGCUCACAGCCACUCGGAAUCUGAGCCAUGUCUCCAACCUACACCAAAGCUCACGGCAACACCGGAUCCUUAACCCACCGAGCGAGGCCAGGGAUCGAACCUGCAUCCUCGUGGAUGCUAGUCACAUGCGUUUCCACGGAGCCACGACAGGAACGCCUCCCUUUCAUUCUUUAGAGGGCCAGAUUGUGGUUUUUCUUUAAUGUGGGGUCAAGCUGGUGACCUCAACCUCUGCCUCCCAGGGCCUUAAAUGGAAAUAACAUCCUGAGCGUAAGGUGAGCCCCAGGUCCAGCACGCGCGGCUCCUUCUUUGGCUUCCCUGCUGUCAGGAUGUCUCCUUUCAUGCUUGGGCAUCGCUGACUCCACUGUUGACAUUCUGCCUCACUCAGCAGCUCCAUCUGGUCGUCAGAUCCCUCCUCCCUGUUUGAAUUCUGUAUCUAUGUGUUUAAGUAAAGCCAGAAAAC